CCGGCGGUAGCUGGGUGGUUAAAGCAUGACGGGACGCCUACCCGGGCUCCUGUUCAGGAUCGUCGGUUCGACUCCGACCCGCCAUA
Molecule: transfer RNA, 86 nt
Filed under: Fusarium pseudograminearum
Lineage: Eukaryota; Fungi; Ascomycota; Sordariomycetes; Hypocreales; Nectriaceae
Description: tRNA-OTHER
Rfam family: tRNA
About the family: Transfer RNA (tRNA) molecules are approximately 80 nucleotides in length. Their secondary structure includes four short double-helical elements and three loops (D, anti-codon, and T loops). Further hydrogen bonds mediate the characteristic L-shaped molecular structure. tRNAs have two regions of fundamental functional importance: the anti-codon, which is responsible for specific mRNA codon recognition, and the 3' end, to which the tRNAs corresponding amino acid is attached (by aminoacyl-tRNA synthetases). tRNAs cope with the degeneracy of the genetic code in two manners: having more than one tRNA (with a specific anti-codon) for a particular amino acid; and 'wobble' base-pairing, i.e. permitting non-standard base-pairing at the 3rd anti-codon position.
Source: RNAcentral